Molecule: long non-coding RNA, 2414 nt
Organism: Vigna radiata var. radiata (mung bean)
Lineage: Eukaryota; Viridiplantae; Streptophyta; Magnoliopsida; Fabales; Fabaceae
Exons: 3
Source: RefSeq, a predicted model, not a curated record
CCAGGUAAGUGAACUUUGUUAACAUAAUAAAGUUCCAUAUGUGAUUUUAAUAUAUAAUAGUUAAGUUAUUAUGAAUUCCAGGCGCCAUUGGCAGCUUCCACUACAAGAAAAAGAGCAUUUACAUAUAGAUAAUUAUAUACGGAUCUGAAUUCGUAUGUAACAAAACUGUUACAUACGGAUAUUAGAUACNGAGUUAAAAAAAAGUUGAAAAAUUGAACCAUGAAAAUUCUCGAGCCAUCCCAUUGUAAACUUUCCCUCUCGGUUUUCCCUCUGAUCUCUUUCCCUCUCAUCUAUUUCCCUCUCAUCUCUUAUCUUCUCAGGUUUCCCUCAAGAUCUUUUUCCCUCUCGAUCACAAACCAUUGUCUCAUGUUUAUUAAACGAGUUCGUAGGUGUGUGUUCCUUUAAUGAGGGUUUGAGAAAGGGAAUGAAAAAGGGUUUGCGAUCGCAUGACUCAGGGUAGUCGCGUGCCACUAAGGGCCUUUGAUCGGCAGUCGUUUGCACAAUGCUACUUCGAGGAUGAUGACGAAGAGGAGUGCGCAACACGCGACCCACGGCAUGCUUGACGCACAGGGUUGCAAGCCGAAGCACGGAGUGCACUGGUGAUGAUAUGGGAGCCUGAAGCUAGGAGGAACGUCUUAGCACAGAGGCUCUCGAAGCUUUUAGAAGUUCCUCACAUUUCCAUGGCUAUGCUCCUCAGCCAGGACCUCAACCCUCGCUCCUACCUCUAUCACCAAAUAACAAAUGCUUUAGAUCAUGGAAAACUUGUCGUAGAGGAAAAUAUUCUUUUAUGACCAUCACGCUUCGUUCUUUUUUUGCUCGCGGUCACACUAUCAAAGUUCCUUCAUCUGCACAUAACAAUAUGUGGUGUAGUUCAGAAGACAUUGUUCCAUCGUUACCAAAUAUCGAUUAAGGCGAGGGUGUUGCAUUUUGGAAACAUUCGAAGUGGUAGUAAAGUAUGUUUCGGUGAUAUUUUGGACACAAUCGCAGGGCAUUAUCAUGUUUCUCGGUUCUACCGUCGAUCGGGCUUUAGAUCUGGACCAACGCGUCCCAUUGUAAUCACUCUUCUUCUUGAAGUCGUUCAUGGAGGAGAUUUGGACUAGUGCUCUGCUAUCAUAGAAGGCCUUCCCUAUAUGUGAGGAGAUAUCUUUAUCUUGCCCUCGACGUCAAAGGCCCUCACGUUGAAGUAAAUUUGGAUUUUCAAUUUUACUUUCUAUUCUUGCAUCUUUUAGGUUAGUUUCUGCUUCUACUGGGGAUUUCUUGUUUUAUUAAUCUUAGGUUCAAUUGACAUUGUCCUANUAGAGGAAAUUGACAGGGUAGUGUAACUCUUUGAAUUUAACCUAUCUGCUUAUUGCCUACAACUUAUUCAAUGAAAUGUCUGAACUACGGUCACUAUUUAAAUAGUUUAUUAUCAUGUUUAUAUAUAUAUGAAUUUCGGUGGAAAAGGCUUUUCCAAAAGACUGGUUAUCUUUCCUUCACUAGUUCAUUUGAUACAUACAGAUUCUCUUAAUAAAUAUCAUAGAAGGUUGGUGAUGGGUCAUGGUCCUGGUUUAUGCGACUGCUUCUCAAACUGUGGUUCUUGUAUCAACUCAUUUUCCCUCUUCCAUUAUCUUUAACCAUAUCAUAUACUUAGUUUAUUUGUUUCAUAAUUAUCAAACAUAUUAAGCUACCUUCAUUUUAUGCUCUUUAGUCUCUUAUCUGCAGGUUGUCUCACUCUUUGUCCAAUAAGUUCUCGAGGCCUUGAAGUUGUGUUACAGAGUACAUGAACAAAAUCACUUCUGUUAAAGCACAAUUUUGGCUCACUCUUUGUGGGAAAAUUGACCUACUCAGGCAAAAAACAUGUAUGCUUUGAAUAUAAAUCACAAAUUUAUGUUGAUGGAGCUAUUAAAAAUUAACAUGAAAUUUAGUUACAUUGCAUCUGACAUAUAUAUAUAUAUGGCUUAGUUAUGGGAUGAUACAUUUCAACUAAUAUCAACAUCACACAGUCUUUUUAUGCUUUUAAAAUUAAAUUGGAGUAGAGCUUUUUCAUAGGUCAAGGUGCUAAGUUUGGAUACCUUGCCUUCAAUUCUUACAUCUUCUCCUUUACUUUACCUUAUGAUUCUAACUUGCUUAUGUUUUAUGAUGCAGGUGCUGCUGGGAAUAAUGAUUAUAAGUCCUCUUGAUUAAGUUUAUUUAAUUUUUCCACUCUGAUUGAUUUGAUUUUGAAUGGUUGUGUGCCUGUGAGAUUUGUGUUACAUGAAACAAGCUCUUGCUUUAUGUGUGGUGGUCACCUAGCUUCUGGGAGAGGGGCUCGUGAGAGGCACAAAAACUAAUUUUCUUUAAAUAUUUUCAAGGACAUUAAAUGCAUUANGGGAGCUCAAAUAGUCCAUGCAUCUGAACCAAGCCAUGGUUAUUUAAGGUACGACUAAACAUACCCU